CAAUAGCAUAUAUUAACGUUGUUGCAGUUGAAAAGCUCGUAGUUGAACUUUUGGUAGGGGCGACCUGGCCUUGGGCGCAUGCCCUUGUUUGCCGUGUGUCGUGUCUGGCCAUCCUUUUCCGCUUCGGCGGGAAUCUUUUACUGUGAGUAAACUGGAGUGCUCAAAACAAGACGUUUGUUUGGUACAUUAAAGCAUGGAAUAAUAAGAUAGGACCUGGUUACUAUUUUGUUGGUUUGCAUAGCUAGGUAAUGAUUAACAGGGACAGUUGGGGGUAUUCGUAUUUAAUUGUCAGAGGUGAAAUUCUUGGAUUUAUGAAAGACGAACGACUGCGAAAGCAUUUACCAAGGAUGUUUUCAUUAA
RNAcentral lists this ribosomal RNA (360 nucleotides) under uncultured eukaryote. Its description in RNAcentral is "partial 18S ribosomal RNA". It matches the Rfam family "Eukaryotic small subunit ribosomal RNA", at positions 592 to 976 of the family's 1831-position model. The record is from RNAcentral.